RNAcentral lists this ribosomal RNA (495 nucleotides) under Providencia alcalifaciens. RNAcentral's name for it is "bacterial SSU rRNA". It matches the Rfam family "Bacterial small subunit ribosomal RNA", at positions 38 to 519 of the family's 1533-position model. Lineage: Bacteria; Pseudomonadati; Pseudomonadota; Gammaproteobacteria; Enterobacterales; Morganellaceae. The record is from RNAcentral.
AGGCGAGGGGCGGCAGGCUACACAUGCAGUCGAGCGGUAACAGGGGAAGCUUGCUUCUCGCUGACGAGCGGCGGACGGGUGAGUAAUGUAUGGGGAUCUGCCCGAUAGAGGGGGAUAACUACUGGAAACGGUAGCUAAUACCGCAUAAUCUCUCAGGAGCAAAGCAGGGGAACUUCGGUCCUUGCGCUAUCGGAUGAACCCAUAUGGGAUUAGCUAGUUGGUGGGGUAAUGGCUCACCAAGGCGACGAUCCCUAGCUGGUCUGAGAGGAUGAUCAGCCACACUGGGACUGAGACACGGCCCAGACUCCUACGGGAGGCAGCAGUGGGGAAUAUUGCACAAUGGGCGCAAGCCUGAUGCAGCCAUGCCGCGUGUAUGAAGAAGGCCUUAGGGUUGUAAAGUACUUUCAGUUGGGAGGAAGGCGUUGAUGCUAAUAUCAUCAACGAUUGACGUUACCAACAGAAGAAGCACCGGCUAACUACGUGCCAGCAGCCGCU